GUACAAGGGAAAAAACACCACCCACCCGCUCCCCACAGCCCACUCCCCUUCCCUAACCUCUCCCGAUCUCACCACCGCCUCCCUGCCCGCGCUGCCAUUGGCCCGCACCAGAUCGCCUCGGCACAGCCGCCGCCCUCACUAGAUCGCCCCGCCACAGCCGCCGCCCUCACCAGAUCGCCCCGCCACCGCGGUCUCCCUCCUCGGUCGUGCCACCACCAUAGUUUCCCUCCCCAAAUCAUGCCACAGCUGCCACCUCCGGCCUCCUCUGCACAACACCCCUGCUCCUUGACCUUCGUGCGCGGCAUUGCGCCGUAACCGCCGCCGCCAUCCAACCCCAAACGCCAUUAACCUGGGCGCCCCCCUCCCGCUUGCUCCGACGCGGAUCCGGUCAACCCCGCAACUCUCCCCUCCGCACACAAAGCCGUUCAACCCCACUGCCUCGGGCCGUUCAACGAUGCGGCACCAGGACGUUCAACCCCACUUCCAGGAUGCUCCGACGAGGCCGAGAUCUUUCCUCUGUUCACCCAACUCUCUCUCAGGGAGGAUUUGAACUUCUUUGAAUUUGAAAGAAAAUUGCUUGCAAUUUUUUUUUCUGUAUAUUUGGUUUCUGAAAAAUGCACUUGGAUGUGAUGGAUGAAAUUAGUUUGAGCAUAGUUGAACUACAGUUUGUUUACAAAAAGUUGUGAAAAUUGCAGGUUUGUUCGAAGCUGACGGCGCUCCAUAUGUGCAGCAGCACCGCUGCCGCUACAGCUAAUCAGCCACUGCUUGUCAGUACAGUUGCUGGCCCAUGCAUUACACACUUAAAAAGUGAUUCGUGGUGCCACCAAGAACCAUACAUCUGCAUGUUCUUAGCACUUCUUUCUCUCUCUCUAAUUAGUUCUCAGUGGAGGUAGUGCAUCAUCUGCCUUGUGUCAACUUGUUCAAACAGGUAUUAAUCUUGUGUACUAACCGAUUUAAUGGCCAAGUUUUUGUCUGGAUGUGAUGCUACUAAUCUAAUAUUUGAAAAGCUUUCCCAUAAGAUGAAUGUGUGGGUGGGGAUCCUCUGGCCGCACGACAACCACCAAACCCGCGUCGCAAGCCGCUGGGAUCCUGCCUCCAUGCAACCUUACUCCACAUGUUAUCGUGACCUUCCUCUACUUGCCGCCGUGACCAGCAGCGGCCAUGACCCUCCAAGCGCCGGCGCAGCUACACUCCACCGCUGUCGGUGGGCCGCCAACCACCACCACCUCAUACAACCCGAUAGCUCCCUCCACAAACUAGCGCCGCCUGCCCCCACUACAUCUGCCACCUCCUGUAGUCUCUGCACAGCGGCGGCACCUUCCCAUGUUGUAUACCCGCAUCCUCUACCUUCGUCUACAAGCGUCUCAAUCCCCAGCAACACCCCUGUCUGUGCAGAAUGCUUUUGUUCUUCAGUUUGGGAAGAUUUGAACUUCUGAAGAAACUUUAUUGAGAAACGACACCCACCAUCUUGGCAUUAAUCAAAUCCAGGUGAAAAAAUGAAGUAUUGCAUCAACAGAAAAGCAGACUACAAAAAAGAUAUUAUUUUGAAUGUGAACCUGCGUGCAUUAUAUAGAAAUUAUGGAUGUUACUUCUGUGGUACUCAUCUUACCAUACACGUACAAACACAUGUUACUCUUAUAGUACUCAUCUUCCCAUACAGGUACAGAAUAGAUGCAGAGAAAAUAGUAUGUGAAUACUGGUACAAACUCCAUUUUGCAUUAUUCUUGCCGUAGAUGACGGAUUGUUUGCUUUCAGGACUUGAAUCUUGGUUUUAUUGAGAAGGUGGCUUGUCGGAUGUUGUCGCCAUGGAUGACGACGGUGAUCUCGUUCUCAAUCGGAGAAUGAAGAGACACUGGAGAAGGGACGAGGAUCAUGUCCUCACCGUGCAGCAUGGCGUCACCUCUUCGCUCCGGAGCGUCGGUCUUCUUGCGGGAGAGCAUUCAGUGUCGGAUUUCCUACUAUGUAUCGUCCUUCUUUCAUUUGUGGUCCAUUGUUUUCUAUUGUUGGUUUACAGGUUUGGAAGGCAGCCAUGCUGCUAACCUGACUUUGUGUUGCACAAGAGCUUCACGUCGUCUGAAUGCGACGGUGUUACUGCCAUGGAGAUCGGUGUUGGGAUAGGUGAUGGCUUGCUAUGAAAUUUAGUGAAUGAGAAAAUUGACUUAUUGCUGUGCUUGUACAACUGUGUAAUUUUUCUGAUUUUUUAUUUGUUUUUGUGAAGGUCAAAAUGUUGUGUCCGAGAAGUUCAAGUAUGUUAGUUUAUAUUGUAUUAUUGAGAAGCUCCAACUUGUUGUAGGAGUGCAUUGAGAAACAGAGUGAAAAUAUCUAUAAAAAUGUAAGUUCGGGAGGAUUAAAAAGGAAAAGGAAGAAAGAAAAAGCUCACACUUUUGUCGUUGA
Triticum aestivum (bread wheat) is the source of this 2394-nucleotide long non-coding RNA. RefSeq lists it as uncharacterized. The record is from RefSeq and is a predicted model, not a curated record. The transcript has 3 exons. Lineage: Eukaryota; Viridiplantae; Streptophyta; Magnoliopsida; Poales; Poaceae.